UCUCCACAAAUAUGAUUCUUUUACCAUUAAUGGAAUUUAUUUUUAUUUUUAUUUUUUCAACCAAAUGGGAUGGCUUGAGUAGUUUCACACGUUUAAAACUUAUACUUGCAAGAUAUCAAAAAACUUAAAACUUAUCCCUAAAUUUAUAAUUAGAAAUUCAAAGGAGAAUAAGUUUGAUUAAUCAAUAAAUAAUUUGAUGAUUAAUUAUAUAUCCUUUGACAAAUUCCUGAUUUCCUAGCAUAAAAGAUUUGAGAUGGUGACCUAUGGUGCGUGGCUAAUUUUCAAAUUGGCUUGACGAAAUCUAUUUUCUAUAGUUGAGUGGUAAGAUUCCUCCCCCAUUAAUUCAGUCCCCAAGUAGUGAUGCUUGAAUGAGAGCCUCUACUUAUGAAGGUCAUCUAGGCCACUCCUGUCAAUCAAAGUCAAAGGAGCAAAAUUGUCAUGAUUACUAUUAAAAAAAUUUGAAUUUCAUAGAAUCUACUUUAGUCAGCUUGAGUCUUUAGUUUAGUUUGAUUUAAUUUAUGCUAAUAAAUUCUUUUAAGCUUGGAAUCUUGGAAACCAUAUUCUACUACGAGCAUUCGGUAACACACUAGAAAAGAGAAAAAUGAAACUAAGGAAAUCACGUGAUCAUAAACACUCAGAGAAUAAAACUAAAGUUUCGUGUUAGAAAAACGCUCUCUUGCUUGGAGAGACCAGAGAAGGCUACACUCUAAGCAGCAAAGAGAAGGGACUGAUCUCUGAAGAAGAAAAUCAGAAAGGGAGAUUAUUCUCUCUCUUUAAAAAACCUACAGAAAGCAGACACAUCAUAGAUUCUGGAAUUUGCUUCCUAGACGAUUGUUAUUCAUUAUGGAAACUAAAUCAACCUUGUUGAUAAGCAAGUCUACUAUUUUUUUUUUUCAAAUCCUCAAAGCAACACGGAAAAAAAUAUUGAAAGUCAGGCCUAUCUCUAGAAGCUCUCUCUAGCUUGAUUUUGACCGAAAUUUCAGUAAUUCAUUAAUGGUCUUCUUCAUGCGAGUGGACAGUAACUAGCUAAAAAUUAGUCGGGGCAAGUCACCUAAAGCCAAAGGCUAAAGCUUGAGAGGUGAGAAUCACAGAAAGUGGGAUCCUUUCUAAAGUAUUUCACUUGGCAGGUUAAAAAAAGCGACAGAAAAAGAAUUCCGAGAAAAGAAAAUGCAUAAAAUUAAAGAAAGAAAGCUCAGAGUCAGAGGUAUUGCAAGAACACUUGCCUUUUAGCGUAUAUCAAGUAGAUGGUUAAUGUUAUAUACACACCAGAAUACAAACAAAAGGCAUUACAACACCCAACAAGACUCUUCCCCACACCAUCUCCUCCUUUCUCCUUCUACCCAACAAUGGAGUGACCCUUUUCCUGUCCC
RNAcentral lists this long non-coding RNA (1370 nucleotides) under Manihot esculenta (cassava). Its description in RNAcentral is "long non-coding RNA (MESC_LNC001936)". The record is from RNAcentral. Lineage: Eukaryota; Viridiplantae; Streptophyta; Magnoliopsida; Malpighiales; Euphorbiaceae.